RNAcentral lists this long non-coding RNA (690 nucleotides) under Pan troglodytes (chimpanzee). Its description in RNAcentral is "long non-coding RNA NONPTRT016509". The record is from RNAcentral. Lineage: Eukaryota; Metazoa; Chordata; Mammalia; Primates; Hominidae.
AGGAAGGCCUAGGGAGUCAGGUAAAAAACGGAAAAGAAAAAGGUUAAAACCCACCUAAAGCAGCCAACCAGAUGUGAGGUGAGGAUGAGCCGCAGCCCUUUCCUGGGACAUGGAUGUACAUGGCGUGUUACAUUCCUGAACCUACUAUGUACGGUGCUUUAUUGCCAGUGUGCGGUCUUUGUUCUCCUCCGUGAAAAACUGUGUCCGAGAACACUCGGGAGAACAAAGAGACAGUGCACAUUUGUUUAAUGUGACAUCAAAGCAAGUAUUGUAGCACUCGGUGAAGCAGUAAGAAGCUUCCUUGUCAAAGAGAGAGAGAGAGAGAGAGAGAGAAAACAAAACCACAAAUGACAAAAACAAAACGGACUCACAAAAAUAUCUAAACUCGAUGAGAUGGAGGGUCGCCCCGUGGGAUGGAAGUGCAGAGGUCUCAGCAGACUGGAUUUCUGUCCGGGUGGUCACAGGUGCUUUUUUGCCGAGGAUGCAGAGCCUGCUUUGGGAACGACUCCAGAGGGGUGCUGGUGGGCUCUGCAGGGGCCCGCGGGAAGCAGGAAUGUCUUGGAAACCGCCACGCGAACUUUAGAAACCACACCUCCUCGCUGUAGUAUUUAAGCCCAUACAGAAACCUUCCUGAGAGCCUUAAGUGGUUUUUGUUUUGUUUUUUUGUUUUUGUUUUUGUUUUGUUUUUUU